Saccostrea cuccullata (small rock oyster) is the source of this 1968-nucleotide long non-coding RNA. RefSeq lists it as uncharacterized. The transcript has 9 exons. The record is from RefSeq and is a predicted model, not a curated record. Lineage: Eukaryota; Metazoa; Mollusca; Bivalvia; Ostreida; Ostreidae.
CCUUUCAGUUCACGCCAUUUUGUAUUUUGCAUUUAAAGUUCGUUGUUCUGUGUAUUCUAUAACCAAAGAGCUCUCUACUUGACGAAGUACAUACAGAGCAACGAAACAUACAGUGUUAGCGUGAUUCCAACUGUUAAUAACAUCAAUACUGUGAGAAAACGGGCAAAAGAGGGACAUCAGAAAUGAAUUUUGUGGAAUCUACAACACUCCUCGCACUCAUUCUUUGGUUUUCCAGAGUUGCAUCGGUGCCUGAAGUAGACAAAGAUGACUUUAAAGUAUUACCUCGAGGUCAGAAGUGCCCAAGUGAAGGAACAAUGGGAUGUAAACCUUCACAGAUAGAAGUUUGUAUGCCAUACUACACCAAGGACAGAUAUGUAACCGUAUGCAUUGCCAGUAAUCUUACAAUAUACUUAUGAGAGAUGAGGCAGUUGCCCGUUUCUCACAAAAUCUUCUAAUGAAACGUUUGUUAUCAAUGAGAAACACUUUAAGGACUUAAAGAAUUGCACCGUUAUUAAACUGCAAGAUUUCAAAAUGUAUCCUCAAUGUAUGGCUCUGGAAGGACAGUUCGAGUCUUCAUCAGGACAAAGCAAUCAUGGUUCGACCUCGGUGCUUGUUACAGCUGCUUGUAUUAUUGUAGUUGCAAUAAACUUUAUAUUAUGGAUAAAAGUAUAGGAAUCAGAACUCUACGGAUUUCACUGGAUUUCAUGAAGUCAUUCAUCGAUUAAUUUCUAGUAGUGUCGCUUCCUCACUGAUUCAGGAACAUUUGAAUAUAAAAUAGCAGAAUAUCUUACAUAUCGGAUCACAUUUUGUUUGUCGUAUUCUAUCUGUUCGUCUGUCUAGCUGUAUGACAUUGAAAUUCUCCACUAGACCAAUUUGAACGUUUUGAGUGUUUUACAAGUACAUAUUUAGAAGUAAAUCAUUUUAAAAAAAAUUGAGAUGAGCAGUGACAUCAUUAGUUCUAUUGAUGCUCAACUAUCAUUUGGCAACGAAAAAAUUCAUACAUUUUAGUUUUAAAAAUUGAUGUUUGUAUAUCUUUAUAUGGAACUCUUCGAAAGGAGGUCGAAAUAGUAUGAAAAUGGUCACCCCAAGCCUCUUUAAACCCACCUUUAUUUGUAAUAUAACCCACCUUUAUGUGAACACUGAAAUACUUAACUGAUUGUUUCUUGCUUUGUGUAUUUUCAUUGUCUAUCAUUAAAUCAUAUUUGCAUUUUAACUUCGUGUUAAUGGGUAAGCUUGCUUCAUCAAAACACUAGAGCUAAAUAAGUUACUUAAUUUGAUAAACAUGAACACUUGUCUUUUAUUAAUGAUUUGUUUUUGUUUAAAUAUUCUAGUGAACACGAAAUAAAAGAAACCACAGAGCCUUCCACCUGUGUUUACUAUUUUUAUGACUUUAAUGACUAAAGAUUAACUGACUUUAGAUAUUAAGGGCAGAUUAACAACAUAAAUGUAUGACAAACGUGAUGAUUUCAGCUUUUCAAUUAUCAACUUCUCUUAUUUUGUAAAUAUAUGUGGCUAUCUCAGGUAUGCAUAUGGUGGUAAUUUCUUCUAACCUUAUUCUUUUCUAAAGAGCAUGCUAAUUGUUAAACGAAGGCAGAUUAGUGACACAUAUUUUUUUCACACAACUUACAUAACAUUAUAUAAAUAUAUCAAGUUUCAGAAGCCAAAGUCUGUUUUGAGAGAGAGAGAGAAAGAGAGAGAGAGGGGCAUGCUCUUGAGGAUCUUACGAAAUCAUGACCCCCAAACGAGACUGCUGAUAUUCUUGUUUCAUAAACUUGUUUGUCAAUAAUUUACCUCGUUUUAGAUAUUUUUCAUAGGUAGAGCAAGCUCUUGCGUAUGGAAACAAUUGAGAAAUAUUAACUCCGUGCAGGUGAUGAAGGUAUAUUGCUGCAUAAUUAAGAGAAGUUGACGGUUGAAAAGUUAAAGUCAUUACGUUUAUCAUAAAAAUUGGUUGUUAAAUUACCAUGAAUG